RNAcentral lists this ribosomal RNA (388 nucleotides) under Patescibacteria group bacterium. RNAcentral's name for it is "bacterial SSU rRNA". It matches the Rfam family "Bacterial small subunit ribosomal RNA", at positions 1 to 325 of the family's 1533-position model. The record is from RNAcentral.
AUAGUUAAGAGUUUGAUCCUAGCUCAGGAUGAACGCUGGCGGCGUGGAUAAGGCAUGCAAGUCAAGGGGGGUGCAUCACACUGCGUGUGAUGCAGGUAGCAGGUUUCAGGUAGCAGGUUUCAACCUGUCUCACCUGUCACUUGCAACCUGCAUCGUGCGUUGCGCGAUGCAUCAACCGGCAGACGAGGUAGUAAUAAUUAGGUACGCACCCUAGGGUCGGGCAUAGCUCGUCGAAAGACGGGGUAAUUCCCGAUAGUCUCGCAAGAGUAAAGUUUUUUCGCCCUGGGAGCGGCCUGAUCGGUAUCAGCUAGUUGGUAGGGUAACGGCCUACCAAGGCUAUGACGCCUAGGGGACCUGAGAGGGUGACCCCCACCGAUGGGACUGAGAC